This 492-nucleotide ribosomal RNA is filed under the name uncultured bacterium. RNAcentral describes it as "partial 16S ribosomal RNA". It matches the Rfam family "Bacterial small subunit ribosomal RNA", at positions 30 to 507 of the family's 1533-position model. The record is from RNAcentral.
AUUGAACGCUGGCGGCAUGCUUUACACAUGCAAGUCGAGCGGUAACAGGCCUUCGGGUGCUGACGAGUGGCGCACGGGUGAGUAAUGCAUCGGAACGUGCCCAGAGGUGGGGGAUAACGCAGCGAAAGCUGUGCUAAUACCGCAUGUGAUCUGAGGAUGAAAGCGGGGGACCAGGCAGCAAUGUUUGGCCUCGCGCCUUUGGAGCGGCCGAUGUCAGAUUAGGUAGUUGGUGGGGUAAAGGCCUACCAAGCCGACGAUCUGUAGCUGGUCUGAGAGGACGACCAGCCACACUGGGACUGAGACACGGCCCAGACUCCUACGGGAGGCAGCAGUGGGGAAUUUUGGACAAUGGGCGCAAGCCUGAUCCAGCAAUGCCGCGUGCGGGAAGAAGGCCUUCGGGUUGUAAACCGCUUUUGUACGGAACGAAAAGGCUCUGGCUAAUACCUGGGGCUGAUGACGGUACCGUAAGAAUAAGCACCGGCUAACUACGUG